RNAcentral lists this ribosomal RNA (2900 nucleotides) under Klebsiella pneumoniae. Its description in RNAcentral is "bacterial LSU rRNA". It matches the Rfam family "Bacterial large subunit ribosomal RNA". Lineage: Bacteria; Pseudomonadati; Pseudomonadota; Gammaproteobacteria; Enterobacterales; Enterobacteriaceae. The record is from RNAcentral.
UUAAGCGACUAAGCGUACACGGUGGAUGCCCUGGCAGUCAGAGGCGAUGAAGGACGUGCUAAUCUGCGAAAAGCGUCGGUAAGGUGAUAUGAACCGUUAUAGCCGGCGAUGUCCGAAUGGGGAAACCCAGUGCAAUUCGUUGCACUAUCGUUAACUGAAUACAUAGGUUAACGAGGCGAACCGGGGGAACUGAAACAUCUAAGUACCCCGAGGAAAAGAAAUCAACCGAGAUUCCCCCAGUAGCGGCGAGCGAACGGGGAGCAGCCCAGAGUCUGAAUCAGCUUGUGUGUUAGUGGAACGGUCUGGAAAGUCCGACGGUACAGGGUGAUAGUCCCGUACACCAAAAUGCACAGGCUGUGAACUCGAAGAGUAGGGCGGGACACGUGGUAUCCUGUCUGAAUAUGGGGGGACCAUCCUCCAAGGCUAAAUACUCCUGACUGACCGAUAGUGAACCAGUACCGUGAGGGAAAGGCGAAAAGAACCCCGGCGAGGGGAGUGAAAAAGAACCUGAAACCGUGUACGUACAAGCAGUGGGAGCACCUUCGGGUGUGACUGCGUACCUUUUGUAUAAUGGGUCAGCGACUUAUAUUCUGUAGCAAGGUUAACCGUAUAGGGGAGCCGCAGGGAAACCGAGUCUUAACUGGGCGUUAAGUUGCAGGGUAUAGACCCGAAACCCGGUGAUCUAGCCAUGGGCAGGUUGAAGGUUGGGUAACACUAACUGGAGGACCGAACCGACUAAUGUUGAAAAAUUAGCGGAUGACUUGUGGCUGGGGGUGAAAGGCCAAUCAAACCGGGAGAUAGCUGGUUCUCCCCGAAAGCUAUUUAGGUAGCGCCUCGUGAAUUCAUCUUCGGGGGUAGAGCACUGUUUCGGCUAGGGGGUCAUCCCGACUUACCAACCCGAUGCAAACUACGAAUACCGAAGAAUGUUAUCACGGGAGACACACGGCGGGUGCUAACGUCCGUCGUGAAGAGGGAAACAACCCAGACCGCCAGCUAAGGUCCCAAAGUCAUGGUUAAGUGGGAAACGAUGUGGGAAGGCACAGACAGCCAGGAUGUUGGCUUAGAAGCAGCCAUCAUUUAAAGAAAGCGUAAUAGCUCACUGGUCGAGUCGGCCUGCGCGGAAGAUGUAACGGGGCUAAACCAUGCACCGAAGCUGCGGCAGCGACACUAUGUGUUGUUGGGUAGGGGAGCGUUCUGUAAGCCUGCGAAGGUGACCUGUGAGGGUUGCUGGAGGUAUCAGAAGUGCGAAUGCUGACAUAAGUAACGAUAAAGCGGGUGAAAAGCCCGCUCGCCGGAAGACCAAGGGUUCCUGUCCAACGUUAAUCGGGGCAGGGUGAGUCGACCCCUAAGGCGAGGCCGAAAGGCGUAGUCGAUGGGAAACAGGUUAAUAUUCCUGUACUUGGUGUUACUGCGAAGGGGGGACGGAGAAGGCUAUGUUAGCCGGGCGACGGUUGUCCCGGUUUAAGCAUGUAGGCUGAUUGUCCAGGCAAAUCCGGAUAAUCAAGGCUGAGGUGUGAUGACGAGGCACUACGGUGCUGAAGUAACAAAUGCCCUGCUUCCAGGAAAAGCCUCUAAGCAUCAGGUAACAUUAAAUCGUACCCCAAACCGACACAGGUGGUCAGGUAGAGAAUACCAAGGCGCUUGAGAGAACUCGGGUGAAGGAACUAGGCAAAAUGGUGCCGUAACUUCGGGAGAAGGCACGCUGGUGUGUAGGUGAAGUCCCUGCGGAUGGAGCUGAGACCAGUCGAAGAUACCAGCUGGCUGCAACUGUUUAUUAAAAACACAGCACUGUGCAAACACGAAAGUGGACGUAUACGGUGUGACGCCUGCCCGGUGCCGGAAGGUUAAUUGAUGGGGUUAUCCGUAAGGAGAAGCUCUUGAUCGAAGCCCCGGUAAACGGCGGCCGUAACUAUAACGGUCCUAAGGUAGCGAAAUUCCUUGUCGGGUAAGUUCCGACCUGCACGAAUGGCGUAAUGAUGGCCAGGCUGUCUCCACCCGAGACUCAGUGAAAUUGAACUCGCUGUGAAGAUGCAGUGUACCCGCGGCAAGACGGAAAGACCCCGUGAACCUUUACUAUAGCUUGACACUGAACAUUGAGCCUUGAUGUGUAGGAUAGGUGGGAGGCUUUGAAGCGUGGACGCCAGUCUGCGUGGAGCCAACCUUGAAAUACCACCCUUUAAUGUUUGAUGUUCUAACGUUGGCCCCUGACCGGGGUUGCGGACAGUGUCUGGUGGGUAGUUUGACUGGGGCGGUCUCCUCCCAAAGCGUAACGGAGGAGCACGAAGGUUAGCUAAUCCUGGUCGGACAUCAGGAGGUUAGUGCAAUGGCAUAAGCUAGCUUGACUGCGAGCGUGACGGCGCGAGCAGGUGCGAAAGCAGGUCAUAGUGAUCCGGUGGUUCUGAAUGGAAGGGCCAUCGCUCAACGGAUAAAAGGUACUCCGGGGAUAACAGGCUGAUACCGCCCAAGAGUUCAUAUCGACGGCGGUGUUUGGCACCUCGAUGUCGGCUCAUCACAUCCUGGGGCUGAAGUAGGUCCCAAGGGUAUGGCUGUUCGCCAUUUAAAGUGGUACGCGAGCUGGGUUUAGAACGUCGUGAGACAGUUCGGUCCCUAUCUGCCGUGGGCGCUGGAGAAUUGAGGGGGGCUGCUCCUAGUACGAGAGGACCGGAGUGGACGCAUCACUGGUGUUCGGGUUGUCAUGCCAAUGGCACUGCCCGGUAGCUAAAUGCGGAAGAGAUAAGUGCUGAAAGCAUCUAAGCACGAAACUUGCCCCGAGAUGAGUUCUCCCUGAGACUUUAAGUCUCCUGAAGGAACGUUGAAGACGACGACGUUGAUAGGCCGGGUGUGUAAGCGCAGCGAUGCGUUGAGCUAACCGGUACUAAUGAACCGUGAGGCUUAACCUU